CGCCGCGGGGCAUCCGCAGGCUCCUCCUCUGGGCGCGGCCUGCGGCUACCCUGCGGCGGCGCAGGUGCGGCCGGCUCCGCCUGGGGGCGGGCUGGUCGUGUGGCUGCCUCCUCCGCCGGACGGGGACGAGCUGGUAGGGGGACGCGGUGGUCGGGAACGCUGAGGUGAACUCGGGGCGGCCUUCUCAGCUGCCUGCGGCCCUGUCCUGAGGGGCCCCAGGAGCCAGAGGAGCAAAGAAAGAGCCUCCUCUGCCGCUGCCCUCUUCGGAGUCGGCACGUGGGGUACCGUGAGCAGAGCGCGGAGACCCCGUGUUCUCCCUUCGGGAGGGUGCAGGAGCGCCCGGAGGCUGCGAGGGGCGGGUUCUCCCUCCCCUGGGGCCUCCCCUCGGCCACCCGGCACGACCGUCUGGAUCCCCUCUGCACCUCCAUAGGUCCCUGCGCUCUGUCACAGCGUUACCGGGCUCCACGCGCACCAGCCACCAUGCAUGCUGUUUAUACUGCUAGUGAUGAGGAAACUGAGGCUUAAAAAGAAGUAAUGCCCCAAAGUUGGCAGCGGUGGAACAAAAGAGGGACAAGGAAGCGGACACCUCCUCUCGCUGGGGGUGGCAGAAAAGAGUCACAGUUUCCAAUCAAUAACUUAAGUGAGGACUUCCUGUACUGCAUCCUUCACUCCCCACGGAGAAGGCCUCUUGCCACGUGCUGGGUCUUGAGCCAGGUUUUGGGGGCUAAAGAGGUGAGGAAGACAAAGCCUAAUUUCAAUUUGGCCCCCUGGGCUAAGGAGGCAUCUAGAGGGAAUUGGGCCACUGGAGGUGAUUUCCAAGUUGAGGGGAGCUUGGUAAACAAGUGUCGACCUGGAGAAGAGGUGAAGGGUGGUAAAGGUGGAGGACCUGCCCUGAGGUUCUAAGCGCGUUUGGGGAGCAACAGCGAGCGGACAGAGAAGGGUCUGGAGAGAAGAUCAAGGGCCAGACCGGAAAGCCCUUGAGUUGCUGCCACAGCCUUUGCACAGUGAACGAACGGAAGGGCGCUGUG
Hipposideros armiger (great roundleaf bat) is the source of this 1028-nucleotide long non-coding RNA. RefSeq lists it as uncharacterized. Lineage: Eukaryota; Metazoa; Chordata; Mammalia; Chiroptera; Hipposideridae. The record is from RefSeq and is a predicted model, not a curated record. The transcript is spliced from 4 exons.